GGGGUAGGCGGCCCUUCAAGUCGGAUGUGAAAUUUCCUGGCUUAACUGGGAAAAGUCAUUCGAUACUGUUGGGCUAGAGUACAGCAGAGGGAGGUGGAAUUCCCGGUGUAGUGGUGAAAUGCGUAGAUAUCGGGAGGAACACCAGUGGCGAAAGCGGCCUCCUGGGCUGUCACUGACGCUGAGACCCGAAAGCGUGGGGAGCAAACAGGGAUUAGAUACCCUGGUAGUCCACGCUGUAAACUAUGGAUACUAGGUAUAGGGAGUAUCGACCCUCUCUGUGCCGAAGCUAACGCUUUAAGUAUCCCGCCUGGGGACUACGGUCGCAAGACUAAA
RNAcentral lists this ribosomal RNA (333 nucleotides) under uncultured bacterium. RNAcentral's name for it is "bacterial SSU rRNA". It matches the Rfam family "Bacterial small subunit ribosomal RNA", at positions 568 to 898 of the family's 1533-position model. The record is from RNAcentral.